This 1086-nucleotide long non-coding RNA is filed under the name Mus pahari (shrew mouse). Its description in RNAcentral is "lncRNA (MGP_PahariEiJ_G0004292.1)". The record is from RNAcentral. Lineage: Eukaryota; Metazoa; Chordata; Mammalia; Rodentia; Muridae.
AAACAGAACACACUAACUAAAGGGCUCCCGUGUUCAAGCUCACCUUCCCCCAGUGCCUUCCAUCAGUUUCUACCACUGAAAGAUUUAAAUUCUGGCCAAUUAUGGAGAGGGGAAAAAAAUCUCUCCUGUGAAACAGUGCCUGUAAAGUCUGGCUUCCACCCAAGCCACAGGAACUUUAAACAGUCUGCGCGCUCAGCGGCCACAGACAGGUUCAAACCGAGUGGGAUGAAAGCUAUUCCCAGGCUUUUAAUCUGAGGUCGCAGAAACCCUUCAAGUUUCCCCGUCUCUCUCAGAGGGUUCAUGAGGAAAAUAACACUGAGUUGUUCUGUGACCUCUGCCCACUGAUGGGAAAAUAAUUCCAGUUAUUAUGUUUCAUUGAUGGCCACAUAAGUUCCAUCAACUGUAAAGCAAAACAAAGGUAGAGUGGACUGUAAAGCCCACGCUGGAGAUCAUGUCAGCACUCAGAACAGAAUUAAGAUAAUUUCAGUUUCAUUUUGGCAAAAGAGUACAUUCACUCAGGUCUUUCCUACUUUGCCCAUGAAAAAGUUAGCAGUCUGAUUAAUGAUAUCAAGGCUUUGGAAUAAUAGGAACAAGAAGGUGUGCCAGAAACACAUUGAUAUGAAGCUUAAACCAGCUUAAACCAUUCUCAAAAAAUAAUUAAAAACAACUUCUAACAAAAGGGUACCUGUGGGGAAUCGCUAACACUGAAGUUGGAAUAAAACUCUGGAUUGUCAUAGACUGAGGAGAACUAUGAGCUUUCAGUCAAACACUAUCAGUGCAGCAUAGGAAGGACCUAUGGGUGAAAAUGCUCAAAGAGAGAAACUUUACACAGGGAUAUGGGAAACCCAAUGAUAAACGAAAAUAAUUUCAAACACCAGCUGCAUGCUCAUCAGUUGGACAUCAACAUCUUGCAGGCUAGUCAAGGGAGACUUCCAUCCUCCUAUUCCUCUCUUCUUUACUCCUGUUAUUUAUGAAGUGAAGGAAAUGUAGUGGAAUUCAAACAGAAACAUACUAGUAUAUCUUUUUCACCUUUCUACCUAAAGAUAUGAUAGGAAGAAAAUAUUUUAAGUAAAUUUUGUAAUACCC